GACGAACGCUGGCGGCGUGCUUAACACAUGCAAGUCGAACGGACAGGCCCUGCUUUUGUUGGUUUCUCGUUUGGCGCACGGGUGUGUAACACGUGAGUAUCCUGCCCUUGACUUUGGGAUAACUUCAGGAAACUGGGGCUCAUACCGGAUAUGAGCUCCUGCUGCAUGUUGUGGGUUGGAAAGUUUCGGCGGUUGGGGAUGGACUCGCUGCUUAUCAGCUUGUUGGUCGGGUAGUGGCUUACCAAGGCUUUGACGGGUAGCCGGCCUGAGAGGGUGAACGGGGACAAUGGGACUGAGAGACGGAGCAGAAGCGUAAGGGAGGCAAUAGGGGGAAAUAUGACGGAAUGGGGGGAAGUCAGAUGUAGAAACGCCGCGAGCGGGAUGACGGCCUACGGGGGGUAAACAGCUGUGGAAGGUAACGAAGAGGGAGUGACGGUAACGGGUAAAGAAGCACCGGCUAACUACGUG
RNAcentral lists this ribosomal RNA (468 nucleotides) under uncultured bacterium. Its description in RNAcentral is "partial 16S ribosomal RNA". It matches the Rfam family "Bacterial small subunit ribosomal RNA", at positions 28 to 507 of the family's 1533-position model. The record is from RNAcentral.